UGGGGAAUAUUGGACAAUGGGCGCAAGCCUGAUGCAGCCAUGCCGCGUGUAUGAAGAAGGCCUUCGGGUUGUAAAGUACUUUCAGCGAGGAGGAAGGCGUUGUGGUUAAUAACCGCAACGAUUGACGUUACUCGCAGAAGAAGCACCGGCUAACUCCGUGCCAGCAGCCGCGGUAAUACGGAGGGUGCAAGCGUUAAUCGGAAUUACUGGGCGUAAAGCGCACGCAGGCGGUCUGUCAAGUCGGAUGUGAAAUCCCCGGGCUCAACCUGGGAACUGCAUCCGAAACUGGCAGGCUAGAGUCUUGUAGAGGGGGGUAGAAUUCCAGGUGUAGCGGUGAAAUGCGUAGAGAUCUGGAGGAAUACCGGUGGCGAAGGCGGCCCCCUGGACAAAGACUGACGCUCAGGUGCGAAAGCGUGGGGAGCAAACA
Molecule: ribosomal RNA, 427 nt
Filed under: uncultured bacterium
Lineage: Bacteria
Description: partial 16S ribosomal RNA
Rfam family: Bacterial small subunit ribosomal RNA
Source: RNAcentral